Molecule: small RNA, 28 nt
Filed under: Bombyx mori (domestic silkworm)
Lineage: Eukaryota; Metazoa; Arthropoda; Insecta; Lepidoptera; Bombycidae
Description: ovarian small RNA-17671
Source: RNAcentral
GUAUCUGGGAUUGGUGCUCGACAGCCGA